Molecule: non-coding RNA, 441 nt
Organism: Schizosaccharomyces pombe (fission yeast)
Lineage: Eukaryota; Fungi; Ascomycota; Schizosaccharomycetes; Schizosaccharomycetales; Schizosaccharomycetaceae
Source: the annotation of a GenBank genome assembly
CAAGUCAUCGUCUUCGACGGUGAAAAACCCGCCGAUUGAAUCUUCAGAAGAUACAUCUCCUUCGACUGUGUAGUUGGUAAGAUUUGAAACAACAGGAUGGCAAAGAUUAAUACUGAAGUUUGUACCAAAAUCGUAACCAUUCACUGAAUAAUCGCCCUUUUCAGAGGUGUUAUCUCGAAUGAGGCCAGAUAAAUCAAAGUAUUCACCGGUGUUUGGGUGAUGCAAUGCGCAAAAUGGUUCUUCAUCAGAUUCUUGCACUUUAAAACCCCUUCGGGUAAUUGUUAAACCAAACGCUCUUUGAAAUUGGGAAAAAAGUGUUAGACCCGCCAACACAUUAAUUAGGCAUGUGAGAAGUCUCAUAACGAAUGUUUUGUGAGUAAAUAUAACAACAAUAAGGGUAAUAGAAUUAAUUGUAAGCGAAUAAUGAAGAGAAACCUUCCU